AACACGUGGGUGACCUGCCUUCGAGCGGGGGAUAACGUCCCGAAAGGGACGCUAAUACCGCAUGACAUCCUGCUCUUAGACGAGUGGAGAUCAAAGCCGGGGAUCGCAAGACCUGGCACUCGAAGAGGGGCCCGCGGCUGAUUAGCUAGUUGGUGGGGUAAUGGCUCACCAAGGCAACGAUCAGUAUCCGGCCUGAGAGGGCGGACGGACACACUGGGACUGAGACACGGCCCAGACUCCUACGGGAGGCAGCAGUGGGGAAUUGUUCGCAAUGGGCGCAAGCCUGACGACGCAACGCCGCGUGGAGGACGAAGAUCUUCGGGUCGUAAACUCCUGUCGAG
This 341-nucleotide ribosomal RNA is filed under the name uncultured bacterium. RNAcentral describes it as "bacterial SSU rRNA". It matches the Rfam family "Bacterial small subunit ribosomal RNA", at positions 112 to 440 of the family's 1533-position model. The record is from RNAcentral.